Molecule: ribosomal RNA, 492 nt
Filed under: uncultured bacterium
Lineage: Bacteria
Description: partial 16S ribosomal RNA
Rfam family: Bacterial small subunit ribosomal RNA
Source: RNAcentral
AGUGAACGCUGGCGGUAGGCCUAACACAUGCAAGUCGAACGGCAGCACAGUAAGAGCUUGCUCUUACGGGUGGCGAGUGGCGGACGGGUGAGGAAUACAUCGGAAUCUACUUUUUCGUGGGGGAUAACGUAGGGAAACUUACGCUAAUACCGCAUACGACCUACGGGUGAAAGCAGGGGAUCUUCGGACCUUGCGCGAUUGAAUGAGCCGAUGUCGGAUUAGCUAGUUGGCGGGGUAAAGGCCCACCAAGGCGACGAUCCGUAGCUGGUCUGAGAGGAUGAUCAGCCACACUGGAACUGAGACACGGUCGAGACUCCUACGGGAGGAAGCAGUGGGGAAUAUUGGACAAUGGGCGCGAGCCUGAUACAGCCAUACCGCGGGGGGGAAGAAGGACUUCGGGUUGGAAAGCGAUUUAGUUGGGAAAGAAAAGCAGCAGGUUAAUACGCGGCUGUUCUGACGGUACCGAGAGAAUAAGCACCGGCUAACUUCGUG